Molecule: non-coding RNA, 89 nt
Filed under: Clostridium sp.
Lineage: Bacteria; Bacillati; Bacillota; Clostridia; Eubacteriales; Clostridiaceae
Also listed under: 1 other name
Description: c-di-GMP sequence
Rfam family: c-di-GMP-I riboswitch aptamer
About the family: GEMM was predicted in a large-scale screen for bacterial structured RNA regulatory elements.
Source: RNAcentral
UAGAGCCAAGGGCAAACCUAUUGAAAAAUAGGGGCGCAAAGCCAUAGGGUCUACGGCGCUUUACACGCUAUGAUAGCCUGGCUGCAAAA